CUAUGUUCCAUAUCGAUCACAUCGGUUUACUGGAGCUGUUCAACUUGCCUUCACUUACCAUUUGCUCGACUAGCUUGUCAUGAGCGUUUAAAAUUUCACUUUCUGACGGUGUCCGAAAUAAUCAAAGUGACGGGGUUGCCUGUGUCGGCCAAAACCAUGCGACACGUUAAAAACAUAUUUGAACGGAAUUUGUUGAUGAUCUGAAAUCGCAUCCGAAAAUCAGUCGAUUGAACCUGCCAACUCUUGCGAAUUUGCAACGUCUGCGCCCAUCUGACCACUUCUACGUAUCGCAGGCAUCUGCUGCUGCCCGGGAAACCCCAAACAACACAGAAGACCCGCGACCACCCGCAGCAACCAAAAUAGUACACCCGUCGACGAUCUCCAUCAACUUGCAGUGACGAUAAAUUGAAAUGUCCUAAAUUGGUAUAAGUUACUUACUGCACAUUUAAACAUUCUUUUCUCAUCAGGUGGACUUUGAAAACGUGAAAUAAGAAGGCAAAUGAGAUUAGAUUACAAAUCUAUAACGAAUGAAAAAAUCCACUUAUCUUUCGUCUUGUUGAUAGUUUCGGACUUUCGGUUUGAUUUAAUAAUUUUAUGUAAACUUUGCUUGUCCUGGCGAUUGACU
Long non-coding RNA from Uranotaenia lowii, 625 nucleotides. RefSeq lists it as uncharacterized. The record is from RefSeq and is a predicted model, not a curated record. The transcript has 3 exons. NCBI's taxonomy places the organism in Eukaryota, Metazoa, Arthropoda, Insecta, Diptera, Culicidae.